GAUGAAGAACGCAGCAAAAUGCGAUAAGUAAUGUGAAUUGCAGAAUUCAGUGAAUCAUCGAAUCUUUGAACGCACAUUGCGCCCGCUGGUAUUCCGGCGGGCAUGCCUGUCCGAGCGUCAUUUCAACCCUCAGGGCCCGCCUGCUUCGGCAGGCGCGGCGCUGGUGUUGGGGAUCGGCCUAACCGCCGUCCCCCAAAUACAGUGGCGGUCUCGCUGCAGCCUCCCCUGCGUAGUAGCAACACUCGCAUGCGGAGCGCGGCGCGGCCACGCCGUAAAACCCCCGACUUUCUGAACGUUGACCUCGGAUCAGGUAGGAAUACCCGCUGAACUUAAGCAUAUCAAUAAGCGGAGGA
Molecule: unclassified non-coding RNA, 353 nt
Filed under: soil metagenome
Description: partial contains 5.8S ribosomal RNA, internal transcribed spacer 2, and large subunit ribosomal RNA
Rfam family: 5.8S ribosomal RNA (bases 1-120)
Source: RNAcentral